Molecule: long non-coding RNA, 99 nt
Organism: Sander lucioperca (pikeperch)
Lineage: Eukaryota; Metazoa; Chordata; Actinopteri; Perciformes; Percidae
Exons: 3
Source: RefSeq, a predicted model, not a curated record
GAUACAGACACUCUUGGGCCUUGUCCAGUGGUGGAAUAUAACUAGUACAUUUACUCAAGAGUACUGUACUUAAGUAAAAAUGUUGAGGUACUUUCUACU